GAGGGGAGAUCCCCCACACUUGACUGAGACACGGACCAACUCCUACGGGAGGCAGCAGUGAGGAAUAUUGGUCAAUGGGCGCAAGCCUGAACCAGCCAUGCCGCGUGCAGGAUGACGGUCCUAUGGAUUGUAAACUGCUUUUGACGGGAAGAAACCCUCCUACGUGUAGGAGCUUGACGGUACCGUAAGAAUAAGGAUCGGCUAACUCCGUGCCAGCAGCCGCGGUAAUACGGAGGAUCCAAGCGUUAUCCGGAAUCAUUGGGUUUAAAGGGUCUGUAGGCGGUCUUGUAAGUCAGUGGUGAAAGCCCAUCGCUCAACGGUGGAACGGCCAUUGAUACUGCUGGACUUGAAUUAUUGGAAGCAACUAGAAUAUGUAGUGUACGGUGAAUGCUUAGAGAUUACAUGGAAUACCAAUUGCGAAGGCGGUUGCUACCAAUGGAUUGACCUGAUGGACAAAGCGUGGUAGCGACAGAUUAGAUACCCCUGGUAGUCCACGCCGUAACGAUGGAAUACUAGCUGUUGGGCGCAAG
Molecule: ribosomal RNA, 530 nt
Filed under: Flavobacterium johnsoniae
Lineage: Bacteria; Pseudomonadati; Bacteroidota; Flavobacteriia; Flavobacteriales; Flavobacteriaceae
Description: bacterial SSU rRNA
Rfam family: Bacterial small subunit ribosomal RNA
Source: RNAcentral